RNAcentral lists this ribosomal RNA (715 nucleotides) under Alcaligenes faecalis. Its description in RNAcentral is "bacterial SSU rRNA". It matches the Rfam family "Bacterial small subunit ribosomal RNA", at positions 65 to 772 of the family's 1533-position model. The record is from RNAcentral. Lineage: Bacteria; Pseudomonadati; Pseudomonadota; Betaproteobacteria; Burkholderiales; Alcaligenaceae.
GGCAGCGCGAGAGAGCUUGCUCUCUUGGCGGCGAGUGGCGGACGGGUGAGUAAUAUAUCGGAACGUGCCCAGUAGCGGGGGAUAACUACUCGAAAGAGUGGCUAAUACCGCAUACGCCCUACGGGGGAAAGGGGGGGAUCGCAAGACCUCUCACUAUUGGAGCGGCCGAUAUCGGAUUAGCUAGUUGGUGGGGUAAAGGCUCACCAAGGCAACGAUCCGUAGCUGGUUUGAGAGGACGACCAGCCACACUGGGACUGAGACACGGCCCAGACUCCUACGGGAGGCAGCAGUGGGGAAUUUUGGACAAUGGGGGAAACCCUGAUCCAGCCAUCCCGCGUGUAUGAUGAAGGCCUUCGGGUUGUAAAGUACUUUUGGCAGAGAAGAAAAGGUAUCCCCUAAUACGGGAUGCUGCUGACGGUAUCUGCAGAAUAAGCACCGGCUAACUACGUGCCAGCAGCCGCGGUAAUACGUAGGGUGCAAGCGUUAAUCGGAAUUACUGGGCGUAAAGCGUGUGUAGGCGGUUCGGAAAGAAAGAUGUGAAAUCCCAGGGCUCAACCUUGGAACUGCAUUUUUAACUGCCGAGCUAGAGUAUGUCAGAGGGGGGUAGAAUUCCACGUGUAGCAGUGAAAUGCGUAGAUAUGUGGAGGAAUACCGAUGGCGAAGGCAGCCCCCUGGGAUAAUACUGACGCUCAAACACGAAAGCGUGGGGAGCAAA